AACGCGAAGAACCUUACCAGGUCUUGACAUCCCGUUGAAAGGUGUAGAGAUACAUCUGGCCCUUCGGGGACAGCGGAGACAGGUGGUGCAUGGUUGUCGUCAGCUCGUGUCGUGAGAUGUUGGGUUCAGUCCCGCAACGAGCGCAACCCUUAUUUUUAGUUGCCAGCAGGUAGAGCUGGGCACUCUAGAGAGACAGCCGGUGAAAGCCGGAGGAAGGUGGGGAUGACGUCAAAUCAUCAUGCCCCUUAUGGCCUGGGCUACACACGUGCUACAAUGGACGGUACAAACGGAAGCGAAGCCGCGAGGUGGAGCGAAUCCGAGAAAGCCGUUCUAAGUUCGGAUCGCAGGCUGCAACUCGCCUGCGUGAAGUCGGAAUCGCUAGUAAUCGCGGAUCAGCAUGCCGCGGUGAAUACGUUCCCGGGCCUUGUACACACCGACGCGUA
Molecule: ribosomal RNA, 443 nt
Filed under: uncultured bacterium
Lineage: Bacteria
Description: bacterial SSU rRNA
Rfam family: Bacterial small subunit ribosomal RNA
Source: RNAcentral